GCCUCCAUAGCAUAGUGGUAGUGCGUUCGCUUCGUAAGUGAAAGGCCGUGAGUUCAAUCCAUGAGGCU
This 68-nucleotide transfer RNA is filed under the name Ipomoea nil (Japanese morning glory). It matches the Rfam family "tRNA". Rfam says of the family: Transfer RNA (tRNA) molecules are approximately 80 nucleotides in length. Their secondary structure includes four short double-helical elements and three loops (D, anti-codon, and T loops). The record is from Rfam by way of RNAcentral. Lineage: Eukaryota; Viridiplantae; Streptophyta; Magnoliopsida; Solanales; Convolvulaceae.